CCUACGGGUGGCAGCAGUGGGGAAUAUUGGGCAAUGGGCGCAAGCCUGACCCAGCAACGCCGCGUGAAGGAAGAAGGCUUUCGGGUUGUAAACUUCUUUUCUCAGGGACGAAGAAAGUGACGGUACCUGAGGAAUAAGCCACGGCUAACUACGUGCCAGCAGCCGCGGUAAUACUUAGGUGGCAAGCGUUAUCCGGAUUUACUGGGUGGAAAGGGCGUGUAGGCGGGGAAGCAAGUCAGAUGUGAAAACGACGGGCUUAACCUGUAGCCUGCAUUUGAAACUGUUUUUCUUGAGUACUGGAGAGGAAGACGGAAUUCCGAGUGUAGCGGUGAAAUGCGUAGAUAUUAGGAGGAACACCAGUGGCGAAGGCGGUCUGCUGGACAGUAACUGACGCUGAGGCGCGAAAGCGUGGGGAGCAAACAGGAUUAGAUACCCGGGUAGUC
Molecule: ribosomal RNA, 443 nt
Filed under: uncultured bacterium
Lineage: Bacteria
Description: partial 16S ribosomal RNA
Rfam family: Bacterial small subunit ribosomal RNA
Source: RNAcentral